CGGCGCGCGUGAGUGUGCGCGUGCGCGUCCCCGUCCUCCGUUCGCACGCAGCUGAUCAAUGAGGAUUUAUUCACUUCAGAGGAGCAGAGAUCAAUAUUUCACUUGUUUUGACCGGAUAUGAAAUAAAAGAACACAGAAGAGCAACGGGUUUCUCAGUCUCUGAAGGACACGAGGAGACGAGGACACGAGGAGACGAGGACAUGAAGACAAGAGGAGACGAGGACAUGAGGACACGAGGACACGAGGAGACAACAACACAAACCUGCUGCUUCCUGUGAGGUGG
RNAcentral lists this long non-coding RNA (283 nucleotides) under Cyclopterus lumpus (lumpfish). RNAcentral describes it as "lncRNA (ENSCLMG00005013073.1)". The record is from RNAcentral. Lineage: Eukaryota; Metazoa; Chordata; Actinopteri; Perciformes; Cyclopteridae.